GACGAACGCUGGCGGCGUGCCUAAUACAUGCAAGUAGAACGCACAGUUUAUACCGUAGCUUGCUACACCAUAAACUGUGAGUUGCGAACGGGUGAGUAACGCGUAGGUAACCUGCCUGGUAGCGGGGGAUAACUAUUGGAAACGAUAGCUAAUACCGCAUAAUAUUAAUUAUUGCAUGAUAAUUGAUGGAAAGAUGCAAUUGCAUAACUACCAGAUGGACCUGCGUUGUAUUAGCUAGUAGGUGAGGUAACGGCUCACCUAGGCGACGAUACAUAGCCGACCUGAGAGGGUGAUCGGCCACACUGGGACUGAGACACGGCCCAGACUCCUACGGGAGGCAGCAGUAGGGAAUCUUCGGCAAUGGACGAAAGUCUGACCGAGCAACGCCGCGUGAGUGAAGAAGGUUUUCGGAUCGUAAAGCUCUGUUGUAAGAGAAGAACGGGUGUGAGAGUGGAAAGUUCACACUGUGACGGUAUCUUACCAGAAAGGGACGGCUAACUACGUG
RNAcentral lists this ribosomal RNA (505 nucleotides) under uncultured bacterium. RNAcentral's name for it is "partial 16S ribosomal RNA". It matches the Rfam family "Bacterial small subunit ribosomal RNA", at positions 28 to 507 of the family's 1533-position model. The record is from RNAcentral.